AGAACGAACGCUGGCGGCAUGCCUAACACAUGCAAGUCGAACGAGAUCUUCGGGUCUAGUGGCGCACGGGUGCGUAACGCGUGGGAAUCUGCCCUUAGGUACGGAAUAACAGUGAGAAAUUACUGCUAAUACCGUAUGAUGUCUUCGGACCAAAGAUUUAUCGCCUAGGGAUGAGCCCGCGUUGGAUUAGCUAGUUGGUGGGGUAAAGGCCUACCAAGGCGACGAUCCAUAGCUGGUCUGAGAGGAUGAUCAGCCACACUGGGACUGAGACACGGCCCAGACUCCUACGGGAGGCAGCAGUGGGGAAUAUUGGACAAUGGGCGAAAGCCUGAUCCAGCAAUGCCGCGUGAGUGAAGAAGGCCUUCGGGUUGUAAAGCUCUUUUACCCGGGAAGAUAAUGACUGUACCGGGAGAAUAAGCCCGGCUAACUCCGCGCCAGCAGCCGC
RNAcentral lists this ribosomal RNA (445 nucleotides) under uncultured bacterium. RNAcentral describes it as "SSU rRNA". It matches the Rfam family "Bacterial small subunit ribosomal RNA", at positions 26 to 518 of the family's 1533-position model. The record is from RNAcentral.